CGAGAAGGCAUCUUUUUUCAGUUAAAGCUUCGGCGGUCAGAGAUGGGCAUGCGUAACAUUAGCUAGUUGGUGAGGUAACUGCUCACCAAGGCUACGAUGUUUAGGGGGUCUGAGAGGAUGGUCCCCCACACUGGUACUGAGACACGGACCAGACUCCUACGGGAGGCAGCAGUGAGGAAUAUUGGUCAAUGGGCGAAAGCCUGAACCAGCCAUGCCGCGUGAAGGAUGACGGCCCUAUGGGUUGUAAACUUCUUUUAUACGGGAAGAAACCUCUCUACGUGUAGAGGGUUGACGGUACCGUACGAAUAAGCAUCGGCUAACUCCGUGCCAGCAGCCGCGGUAAUACGGAGGAUGCAAGCGUUAUCCGGAUUCAUUGGGUUUAAAGGGUGCGCAGGCGGAGAAUUAAGUCAGUGGUGAAAUCCUGCAGCUUAGCUGUAGAAUUGUCAUUGAUACUGGUUUUCUUGAAUGCAGUUGAGGUAGGCGGAAUGUGUAAUGUAGCGGUGAAAUGCUUAGAUAUUACCCAGAACACCGAUUGCGAAGGCAGCUUACUAAACUGUGAUUGACGCUGAGGCACGAAAGCGUGGGGAGCGAACAGGAUUAGAUACCCUGGUAGUCCACGCUGUAAACUAUGAUCACUCGUUGUUGGCAAUACAUCGUCAGCGACUUAGCGAAAGCAUUAAGUGAUCCACCUGGGGAGUACGAUCGCAAGAUUGAAACUCAAAGGAGUUGACGGGGGCCCGCACAAGCGGAGGAACAUGUGGUUUAAUUCGAUGAUACGCGAGGAACCUUACCUGGGCUUAAAUGCAUAACGACGGACCGGGAAACUGGUCUUUCUUCGGACGGCAUGCAAGGUGCUGCAUGGCUGUCGUCAGCUCGUGCCGUGAGGUGUCGGGUUAAGUCCCAUAACGAGCGCAACCCUUAUCAUUAGUUGCCAGCGGGUAAUGCCGGGGACUCUAAUGAAACUGCCGGUGUCCACCGAGAGGAAGGUGGGGAUGACGUCAAGUCAGCACGGCCCUUAUGUCCAGGGCUACACACGUGUUACAAUGGUCAGUACAGAGGGAAGCUA
RNAcentral lists this ribosomal RNA (1066 nucleotides) under uncultured organism. RNAcentral describes it as "bacterial SSU rRNA". It matches the Rfam family "Bacterial small subunit ribosomal RNA", at positions 180 to 1252 of the family's 1533-position model. The record is from RNAcentral.